RNAcentral lists this ribosomal RNA (487 nucleotides) under Fusarium sp. BJ48. RNAcentral's name for it is "eukaryotic LSU rRNA". The stretch from base 112 to 265 matches the Rfam family "5.8S ribosomal RNA". The record is from RNAcentral. Lineage: Eukaryota; Fungi; Ascomycota; Sordariomycetes; Hypocreales; Nectriaceae.
GGAGGACUCCCUGCGGGAACCGACGGACCUGUAACAACGGGCCGCCCCCGCCAGAGGACCCCUAACUCUGUUUUUAUAAUGUUUUUCUGAGUAAACAAGCAAAUAAAUUAAAACUUUCAACAACGGAUCUCUUGGCUCUGGCAUCGAUGAAGAACGCAGCGAAAUGCGAUAAGUAAUGUGAAUUGCAGAAUUCAGUGAAUCAUCGAAUCUUUGAACGCACAUUGCGCCCGCCAGUAUUCUGGCGGGCAUGCCUGUUCGAGCGUCAUUACAACCCUCAGGCCCCCGGGCCUGGCGUUGGGGAUCGGCAGAAGCCCCCUGUGGGCACACGCCGUCCCUCAAAUACAGUGGCGGUCCCGCCGCAGCUUCCAUUGCGUAGUAGCUAACACCUCGCAACUGGAGAGCGGCGCGGCCAUGCCGUAAAACACCCAACUUCUGAAUGUUGACCUCGAAUCAGGUAGGAAUACCCGCUGAACUUAAGCAUAUCAAU